UGGGUGGCUAAUCUGACACUCCAGCUUUCUCAGAAACAUGGUUCUGGAACGGGCCAGAGUCCCAAGGCCUUGAGCCGCGUGUUGCGGGAGACCAGACCUACUCCAGGGAUACACAUAGCUGGGUGCUCCAGACUGGGCAUCUUUCUUGCCAUCAAGCUCCUCAGCAUCCUGCAACUUGAAAAACACUUUACAGAAGCCCUUCCCCACGCUGGUAUUUCGACUCCACCAGACAAUCAAGUUAGUCCCCUCUCUCACCUAUUACCCUAUUCCCAUAAAGUCUGGGGAGGGGUUAGUUUAGAGAAAGGUGUGUUUGGCUUGAGGGGUUGGGAGCGAGCAUACGGCCCUGACAGAGGAAGGCGGGGCGGGAAAUUUAGGAUAUCUGUCUCUGUAACUCCCAAAUACCAAACCGUGAGAUUUUUUUUCUGAAAAUUCAGAGGAGGCUGACAGGAGUACUCCCUCGUCCUUUAAACCUGGCAGUAAGGAAGCUGCCCGGGAAACCUGAAGUAAGGUUGGAAGUGCACAGAGUCUCCGCGUUUGGGCUCAGCCUCUUACCAUAAUAAAGUGUGGGUGGCUCAAAAUGGUCUUUGCAGUUUUCGGUAGCGCCCUUGACCCACGAGUAACCUACACAAGAAAGGCGAAGUGGCUACUUAACUCACAGGUCGCAGCUCCCUUCUAGGAUUCCGGGACAGCUGCUAGCGACACCCAGCGUGCCUGCCUCCUCCCUACCUUCUUUGGAGCCUGAUCCCUAGUUUGAGCCCCAGCAACCACCUUCAGAUCCUCGGGCUAGGCCCUGCCGCUGCAGAGAGCAUCGUGGAGGUGUUGAGCCCGCGUGUAGUGACCUCAGCAGGGGCAGGAGAGAGCAGCCGUUUGUUUCCAGGAGCUUUAUGUAACCUCAGUACAAACUGGAGCACCAAGAUCUGCAGGCUUUACCUCAAGAAUAUCAGCAUCGGAAGCCCUUCCCCUGACCCCCAAGGGCUUCAGGGAGUAUCUGGAAGCUUUCAGGGUGUGACUGCUGUCUUAAGACAGCAUUGAAGAGGAGCAAUGGCAAGGAGUAGGGGGAUGGCCUAAAGUAAAGUACUAUGAUGGGUGUGUAUGAAAUGCAGUGAUGAAAUCCACUAUUCUGUAUGCUAACUAAACAUUUUAAUAAAGGAAGAAAAACAA
Long non-coding RNA from Mesocricetus auratus (golden hamster), 1161 nucleotides. RefSeq lists it as uncharacterized. The transcript is spliced from 2 exons. The record is from RefSeq and is a predicted model, not a curated record. Lineage: Eukaryota; Metazoa; Chordata; Mammalia; Rodentia; Cricetidae.